Molecule: ribosomal RNA, 490 nt
Filed under: uncultured bacterium
Lineage: Bacteria
Description: bacterial SSU rRNA
Rfam family: Bacterial small subunit ribosomal RNA
Source: RNAcentral
GGCUCAGAUUGAACGCUGGCGGCAUGCCUUACACAUGCAAGUCGAACGGCAGCACGGACUUCGGUCUGGUGGCGAGUGGCGAACGGGUGAGUAAUGCAUCGGAACGUGCCAUUGAGUGGGGGAUAACGUAGCGAAAGUUGCGCUAAUACCGCAUAUUCUGUGAGCAGGAAAGCAGGGGACCGCAAGGCCUUGCGCUCUUUGAGCGGCCGAUGUCAGAUUAGCUAGUUGGUGAGGUAAAGGCUUACCAAGGCGACGAUCUGUAGCGGGUCUGAGAGGAUGAUCCGCCACACUGGAACUGAGACACGGUCCAGACUCCUACGGGAGGCAGCAGUGGGGAAUUUUGGACAAUGGGGCAACCCUGAUCCAGCCAUGCCGCGUGAGUGAAGAAGGCCUUCGGGUUGUAAAGCUCUUUCGGCCGGGAAGAAAUCGCAUGGGCCAAUACCCUGUGUGGAUGACGGUACCGGAAUAAGAAGCACCGGCUAACUACGUG